AUGGAUCUGUACUUUGUUGAAAUAGAGGGGAGUGAAGUGAUUGCACCAAAAUCUGGCUGGACUCUGGAGCUGAGCAAGAACCACAUAGUAGUGGUCUCUCAAACAGAGCCCACCCUGACACUGUGUGAUCUCACUUUGCAACACCACACAGAGCAUUUGCACCUUUUUCCCCCCAACAUUUGCAGGUAGGUAGGUCAGCAGGUCUCAAUUCUCUUCUGUUCACUGUUGGAGGUCUUGCAAUGUAGAUGGGUGGAAAACCUGCACAUGCCAUUACCGUCCCCAAACAAGGUGUGAGUGAAGGAUCUAGGGCCUACGUAGUGGGCACUGUAGGAGGGAAAAGCACAUCACAGGAAACCCAGUCAUGAAGACAACAUUUUUGGAAGCUUACUGUGGCUUUGAGAUGGAGAACACCAACACAACAAUGUGCAGAGUUUUGAUGGAUUUUUGAAUGUGCAGUUGCCUAGUGAAGUUGUAGAUGCCCCAUCCCUGGAGUUGCUCAAGGCCUGGCUGGAUUGGGCCAUGAGCAGCCUGAGCUGGUGCCUGUGUAGUGGUUGGAAACCCUGCCCGUGGAAGGGGGUUUGGAACUGGGGUAUCUUUGUGGUCCCUUCCAACCCAACCAUUCUGUGAUUCUGUGAAGGGUCUUCCUGCAACACAGGCAGCACUCAGAUGCUCCCCCAGGUUCCUCUUGCUCAAGGGGCAGAGAGCUGCUCUCCCAUGAGCACAAGGGCUCAAGAUGUUGUUCCUGACUUCUGUGUAGCCAUGGAGAAGCAAUGGCCCAUGCAUGGGCACAUCUGGAUCUCCACGUCCGAGGUCCAAAUGCCACCAGGAGCUGCUCCAACCCACGGCCUGGCAGACUCAGGUGCGUGGUGAGAUUAAACACAUGAAAGAAAGACUCAAGGCACUGAAUGCCGCCGUGAUGAGACCCAUCUGACAGAGAGAUCAGUUCGGGCUGCAGAAUGCCUGAGAUUUUUCUACCCAACAGCAGGAUAAUUUAUGUCCCCCUCAAAAGACUUGGAGAACAUUUUUAGGAAAUGCAAACGUGUUGAUUUUUUUGCUACCCGUUUCUCUCCCUUCCUCAAAUAAACUCUGCUUUCCUGCACA
RNAcentral lists this long non-coding RNA (1101 nucleotides) under Numida meleagris (helmeted guineafowl). RNAcentral's name for it is "lncRNA (ENSNMEG00000019958.1)". The record is from RNAcentral. Lineage: Eukaryota; Metazoa; Chordata; Aves; Galliformes; Numididae.